This 137-nucleotide non-coding RNA is filed under the name Paenibacillus ihuae. RNAcentral's name for it is "SAM riboswitch (S box leader)". It matches the Rfam family "SAM riboswitch aptamer (S box leader)". Rfam says of the family: The SAM riboswitch is found upstream of a number of genes which code for proteins involved in methionine or cysteine biosynthesis in Gram-positive bacteria. The SAM riboswitch acts at the level of transcription termination control. The record is from RNAcentral. Lineage: Bacteria; Bacillati; Bacillota; Bacilli; Caryophanales; Paenibacillaceae.
UCUUAUCGAGAGCGGCGGAGGGAUAGGCCCGAUGAAGCCCGGCAACCGAUUUGUAUCCAGUAAAGAAACUGUACUGAGUACAAGUGUCAUGGUGCUAAUUCCUACAAUGGCGCGGGUAAACGCCGUUGGCAGAUGAG